Molecule: ribosomal RNA, 433 nt
Filed under: Pireneitega luniformis
Lineage: Eukaryota; Metazoa; Arthropoda; Arachnida; Araneae; Agelenidae
Description: partial 16S ribosomal RNA
Source: RNAcentral
UUCUAAUAGUAAUAAUUAUUAGUAUAAUCUGCUCAAUGAAAUUUCAAUAGCCGCAAUACAUUUGUGCUAAGGUAGCAUAAUCAUUUGUCUUUUAAUUAAAGACUAGAAUAAAAGAUUUAACAUUUUUAUUUCUUUCUCAAUCAUAUAUAUUAAAUUUAUUCUAAAUAUAAAAAAAUAUUUAUUAUAAAAAAAGACGACAAGACCCUAUUGAACUUAACUAAAGUUAAACUGGGGCAGUUAAUUAAAUAUAAUUUUAAUUUUAUAUUAAUAAACACCUAAUUCAAUUAAAUAAAUCAAGUUACCAUAGGGAUAACAGCGUAAUAAUUUUCCAUAGAUCUUAUUCAAAAAAUACUUUGCGACCUCGAUGUUGAAUAAUAAUCUAUUAAAUGCAAAAAUUUAAUAAGAAAGUCUGUUCGACUUUUAAUAAAUUACA